RNAcentral lists this ribosomal RNA (406 nucleotides) under uncultured bacterium. Its description in RNAcentral is "partial 16S ribosomal RNA". It matches the Rfam family "Bacterial small subunit ribosomal RNA", at positions 30 to 526 of the family's 1533-position model. The record is from RNAcentral.
AUUGAACGCUGGCGGCAAGCCUAACACAUGCAAGUCGCACGAGUGGCGGACGGGUGAGUAAUGUCUUGGAAACUGCCUGAUGGAGGGGGAUAACUACUGGAAACGGUAGCUAAUACCGCAUACCAUCGGAUGUGCCCAGAUGGGAUUAGCUAGUAGGUUGGGGAAAGGCUCACCUAGGCGACGAUCCCUCGCUGGUCUGAGAGGAUGACCAGCAACACUGGAACUUAGACACGGGCCAGACUACGACGGGAGGCAGCAGGUGGGCAUAUUGCACAAUGGGCGCAAGCCUGAUGCAGCCAUGCCGCGUGUAUGAAGAAGGCUUUCGGGUUGUAAAGUUCUUUCAGCGGGGAGGCGUUACCCGCAGAAGAAGCACCGGCUAACUCCGUGACAGCCGCCGCGGUAAUAC